AUUGAACGCUGGCGGCAGGCCUAACACAUGCAAGUCGAACGGUUGAGGGGGGCUUGCUCCUGGAUUCAGCGGCGGACGGGUGAGUAAUGCCUAUGAAUCUGCCUGGUGGUGGGGGAUAACGUCCGGUAACGGGGGUUAAUACUGCAUACGGCCUGAGGGAGAAAGAGGGGGAUCUUCGGACCUGAGGCUAUCAGAUGAUACUAGGUCGGAUUAGCUAGUUGGUGGGGGUAAGGCAUAUCACGGCGAAGAACCGCAACUGGUCUGAGAGGAUGAUCAGUCACUGUGGAAGUGAGACACGGCACAGACCCCUACGGGAGGCAGCAGUGGGGACUAUGGGAAAAUGGGCGAGAGCCUGAUCCAGCCAUGCCGCGUGUGUGAAGAAGGUCUUCGGCUUGUAAAGCACUUUAAGGUGGGAGGAAGGGCAGUAAGUUAAUACCUUGCUGUUUUGACGUUACCAACAGAAUAAGCACCGGCUAACUUCGU
RNAcentral lists this ribosomal RNA (483 nucleotides) under uncultured bacterium. RNAcentral's name for it is "partial 16S ribosomal RNA". It matches the Rfam family "Bacterial small subunit ribosomal RNA", at positions 30 to 506 of the family's 1533-position model. The record is from RNAcentral.